This is a long non-coding RNA of Chinchilla lanigera (long-tailed chinchilla), 381 nucleotides long. RefSeq lists it as uncharacterized. Lineage: Eukaryota; Metazoa; Chordata; Mammalia; Rodentia; Chinchillidae. The record is from RefSeq and is a predicted model, not a curated record. The transcript has 3 exons.
CAGAGGACUGGGACAGGCCUAAGCCAGCACUAAGAGGCUUAGGCAGGAGGAUCAUCAUGAGUUCGAGGCCAGUCUGAGUUACACAAAGCAGCAGAAGCCUUAUGGAACAGAGUACGCCUUUCCAUGUGGUGGUUGGCAGCAGCAAAGAAGUUUGGGAGCUUCUGAAGGGGCAACUCAUUGGACUACUCUACGAAACACAGAAUUUAAAUUGUCUCUGACCUUUCAAGAGGCAGAAACUUCACUGGCAACAGGACGACGCAAAAUAAGGAUGAUUGUGAUCUCCCAGACUCAUGCUCCAGAGCAACGGGAUUAGUGGCAUGCACCACUAUGACCAGAUAGGCCCACAGUUUUGAUAAAUAAACGCAGCUGGUAUACCAGUAA